UACGUAGGGGGCAAGCGUUAUCCGGAAUUACUGGGUGUAAAGGGAGCGUAGGCGGCAUGGUAAGUUAGAUGUGAAAGCCCGUGGCUCAACCACGGGAUUGCAUUUAAAACUACCAAGCUAGAGUACAGGAGAGGUAAGUGGAAUUCCUAGUGUAGCGGUGAAAUGCGUAGAUAUUAGGAAGAACACCAGUGGCGAAGGCGACUUACUGGACUGAAACUGACGCUGAGGCUCGAAAGCGUGGGGAGCAAACAGGAUUAGAUACCCUGGUAGUCCACGCCGUAAACGAUGAGUGCUAGGUGUUGGGGGGGAACCCUCGGUGCCGCAGCUAACGCAUUAAGCACUCCACCUGGGGAGUACGAUCGCAAGAUUGAA
This 372-nucleotide ribosomal RNA is filed under the name uncultured bacterium. RNAcentral's name for it is "bacterial SSU rRNA". It matches the Rfam family "Bacterial small subunit ribosomal RNA", at positions 524 to 898 of the family's 1533-position model. The record is from RNAcentral.